This 253-nucleotide ribosomal RNA is filed under the name uncultured bacterium. Its description in RNAcentral is "partial 16S ribosomal RNA". It matches the Rfam family "Bacterial small subunit ribosomal RNA", at positions 524 to 776 of the family's 1533-position model. The record is from RNAcentral.
UACGGGGGGGGCAAGCGUUGUUCGGAAUUACUGGGCGUAGAGGGCUCGUAGGCGGCCAACUAAGUCAGACGUGAAAUCCCUCGGCUUAACCGGGGAACUGCGUCUGAUACUGGUUGGCUUGAGUGUGGGAGAGGGAUGCGGAAUUCCAGGUGUAGCGGUGAAAUGCGUAGAGAUCCGGAAGAACACCGGUGGCGAAGGCGGCCCGCUGGGCAACUGCUGACACUGAUGCGCGACAGCGUGGGGAGCAAACAGG